RNAcentral lists this long non-coding RNA (456 nucleotides) under Homo sapiens (human). RNAcentral's name for it is "HSALNT0371246". Lineage: Eukaryota; Metazoa; Chordata; Mammalia; Primates; Hominidae. The record is from RNAcentral.
CCUGCGGCCAUGCUGGGCUAGGACAAGAGGCAGAGGCAGAGAGACAGAGAGGAGCCACCCUAAGAAGAGAGACCAGAUACCCUUUUCUCAUCCUUUGAGUUCAACAGAUGUCUCUUCUGGUUGCAAGUGACAGAAGCCCACACAGAAAAGGCUCAGACCAAAGAGAAAUUUAUGGGCUCCUGAAACCGUAUGUCAGAGAGAGAUUGGGCCAGGGCUGGGAUGUGACCCCGGCUCUUUCUUGGUUUCUCCUCGCCGCUUCUCUCUCUCCUGCAGCCUCACAGUCUCAGACAGGAUUCUUUCAAGAAUUGCAAACUUGGCUGAAGACCUUCCUGUCCCCUUUCUUACCUCCCAUGUACAGGAUGGGGGUGAUGAUCCCACUUCUCUGACUCUCACCCAGAAGUUAGGAACUCCUUAAGCCUCCCUUGCAGAGGGACUAGGACUUAACUGAGAAAGGUG